Aethina tumida (small hive beetle) is the source of this 6513-nucleotide RNA transcript. It is a transcript of the gene named regulating synaptic membrane exocytosis protein 2, with no coding region annotated. The record is from RefSeq and is a predicted model, not a curated record. Lineage: Eukaryota; Metazoa; Arthropoda; Insecta; Coleoptera; Nitidulidae. The transcript has 17 exons.
GAUGUCCGAAAAGGGAUAGGAUGGAGGACGGGCCCGAUUUAAGUCACUUGACUCCAGAAGAGAGGGCUAUCAUCGAAUCUGUUAUGGUCCGACAGAAACAAGAGGAAGAACGCGAACAGGAAAUUAUGAGACGAAAGGCUGACGAGGUGCAGAUAUUGGAGGACACGAUACGGGCGAGGAACGAGCAGCACAAGAAGGCGGGCAUCGAGCUCGAUGCCACGUGUCACAUAUGCCUCAAGACCAAGUUCGCUGACGGCGUCGGCCACUUGUGCAACUACUGCUCCAUCAGAUGUUGCGCCAGGUGCGGCGGAAAAGUCACCCUCCGAUCCAAUAAGGUUGUGUGGGUGUGCAUCCUGUGCCGCAAGAAGCAAGAGCUGCUCAGCAAGACUGGCCAAUGGAUGCUGGGCACGCCGCAGGACGCCGAACACCCCCAGAUCCAGCAGGCGCCGUCGGACAAACGGCCGAAGCUGGAGCGGGCCCAUUCGGCGGCCGAGAAGGAGAACCAACCGUUGCAACGAUCGGGCAGCGUGCUGCGCCGCCAGUACUCCGAGCAGGAGCCCCGCGCGCCUUCCUGCGAACGGUACCAGCAGCAGUACAAUGAGGAGGACCCCCGGUACUAUCAGGGCGAGCUGGAGGGCCUCAUGAGGACCCAUCCCCAUCUGGUCCCAAGAAGGUAUCCGGAUCCGGAGCCUGAUCCGUCAGUGAUGGACCAUUCGCAGCAAAGAUUGCCGUCAUCAAGUGCCAAUAAGAAACAUAAAAGAAGUGGUUCCACGAAGAAUAGACAACAUACACCGCAAGUGCAAAUUCAGAGGUCUUUCAGCAGUUCCGAAGAAGAUCUGAAGUCGACACCAGAAUAUGGCAGCGAUGAAAGAGACAGCGAAAAAGGAAAUAAUGGCGAUUGGCCGCCACUGAGCCAAUAUAUCGUGGCGCCGCACCAGUCGCACAGGCCGCUGCAGGACGUGACGGCCGACAACAGAUGUUUCACCGAGCGCAGAAAGAAAACGGUCAGGUUUGAUCAGCAUGACGGUAGGCAGGGUUCCCAGGAUUCCCACAGGGAUUCGGGAAUCGACACGUCGUCGACGUUCACAUCGAGCGAGGACUCGACGAGAGGAGACUUGCCCAAGCAUCCCCUAUCGUGGCAAGUCUCCGCCGACGGCACGAGAAUGAUCGGGCACAUGAUUUUGCGAAGAGGAAGGGACAUGAACGGAAGCAGUGCGGCCAUAUUGGGCCUCAAGGUGGUCGGAGGGAAAAUUUUAGAAAACGGGUUUAAAGGCGCGGUCAUUGAGAAAGUUAAAAAGGGUAGCAUCGCCGACGUGGAGGGACAACUGAGACCAGGCGACGAGGUGAUAGAAUGGAACGGAAGGUCGUUGCAGGGCAAGUCGUACCAGGAAGUGUCGGACAUAAUCGCUGAGAGUAAGCAAGAACAAAACGUGGAACUAAUAGUUUCCAGGAGCAUGGGCAACCGAAGGGCAGCCCAGGCGAAUUGGAGGCAAUCGGUCGCUCAAAGAGGCCAGCCGGGCGGGCAGUGGCACCAGCAGGACAGCGAGCUGUACGAACGGCCCCACGUCCUGGUCACGUCGCCGGGCAGUCCGGAACGGCAGGAGACGGCGCCGUCGCUGGCGCCCAGCGUCGGCGGCCGCGUCCAAGUGCGUCUCGGCUUCGACCCCACCACCCUCCAGCUGCUCGUGACCAUCGUGUGCGCCAGCGGUCUGACGCCGCGGUCGCCCCACCAGCCCCGCAAUCCCUACUGCAAGCUGUUCCUGCUGCCCGACCGGAGCGAGAAGAGCAAACGGAGGACGAGGACGUUGGCCGGUACCACGGAACCUAUGUGGAACCAAACGUUCGCGUACGCCGGCCUACGUCGCUCCGACCUGCGUCUACGCGCCCUCGAGAUCACCGUCUGGGACUACGUCCGGUACGGCGCCAACGACUUCCUCGGCGAGGCCAUCGUCGAACUGUGGCCGCUCGACGAACAGCCCACCUGGCGCACGCUCGGACCGCACGAGGAGGUCGCCCUGACGCCGAGCGAGCACCUGUCGCCGCCCAGCACCGGGUCCCGGUUCUCCGACAGCGACACGCCGUCCGAGUGCGAGAUCGACGGGAACAGGGAGCGGCGCGGCGCCGAUGGCGCCAGCGUCUCCAGCGUGGGCAGCUCCACCAGUCCGCCCAGGGACACGGACCGCAGGUCGAGGCGGGACCAGGAGGUAGCCUAUAAUCCGGGAUACAGAAGAGGCGGAAUGGCUGGCCAAAGGUCGCGUUCGGCCGCGCCCUGCGAAUCGCCCAAUGUACAUAUGCCCAGAUCCAGGUCGAAGUCGCCCCGAAGAUCAGCCACCGACCACCGAUCGUUGUCACCGCCCGACGUCCGAGUGUCCGAUUACCCUCCAACCACCUACAACGUGACCCGCUUCCAGUCCAGAUCCGCCACCGCAACACCAACAGGUUCACCAAAGAAACGCCAACUCCCUCAAGUGCCACACGCAUUGGCGCGCGCCCUCCAGGAGCGCGUCGCCCAAGACCUGGACGGUUCAAACCACAACCGGCACCAUCGGAUGCGCUACAUCCACACCUACCGUUCGACCGGCUCCGGUUGGGAGCGACGCUACACCGGACUGAGCGACAGCGACCUGGCCAACCACACCAGGACCAACCGCCGUUCCCAGUCCCCGGACAGGGACCGCGAUCCCCUGGGUCUGGUCGACUUCGACAGCGACAUGGAGUCGGUCAACUCGGUGACCAGCAGCACGUUCUCCACGCAGAGCGAGAGGCCCAGGGGAACGAGGACCACCAGUGCGGACUACGGCAGCAAUAGCGACAGAUACAUGUAUACGGGUCAUCGUGCACCUCCGAGACAAAUGAGAGACAGAGACCAAGAUCUGAGGGAUCCGUUGGAGCCCUUGGACCAGCACCACAAUCACCAUCACCACCACCAUCACCACCAUCAUCAUCGAGAGAAUAGCGUUAAACGCGGACAGUUCACUAGGAGUUUGUCCAACACCGAACCACCUCCGGACGAGAAAACAGUUCACUUUUUAGAUGGGAGCCUUAGUGACACAGCCGUCGGCCAGCACGGCUUGGAAAUACCGCAGAAGGAGAACAUGAGGAAGGAGAGCCAAAGGGACAGGGACAGGCAGGCCCAAUUCGUGGGGCUGAGCAAAAAGAGCAACUCCACGAGUCAGUUGUCAGCCACAGGUAGAAAACGAAGGAUGGGCUUUGGUAGAAGAGGAAAAACGUCGUUUACUGUACAUAGAUCAGAAGAGGUGCUUCCUGGCGAUGUUAGAUUGUCCAAACAAGGGUCGUCGGCUUCUAGCGAUGGGGAAGGGUCGAUAGAUGGUGACAGGUGGUCACCGUCGCUUCGGUUAGCCGGAGAGGGAGGUCAACUGGCGGAAUUCAUCGACGGUUUAGGGCCUGGCCAGCUGGUGGGCAGACAAGUCCUGGGGGCGCCGGCCCUAGGUGACAUACAGCUCUCGUUGUGCUACCAAAAGGGGUUUUUGGAAGUGGAGGUGAUACGAGCGAGAGGUCUGCAGUCCAGGCCAGGAUCCAAAGUUUUACCAGCUCCGUACGUCAAAGUGUACCUAGUAAACGGGAAGAAGUGCAUAGCCAAAGCAAAAACAUCAACGGCCAGGCGAACACUGGACCCCCUGUAUCAACAACAACUAGCCUUCAGAGAGAACUUUCAGGGUUGCAUCCUUCAGGUGACGGUGUGGGGAGAUUACGGUCGGAUCGAGGGCAAAAAAGUGUUCAUGGGUGUGGCGCAGAUAAUGUUGGACGACCUGAACUUAAGCAACAUCGUUAUCGGAUGGUACAAACUGUUCGGGACGACCUCGCUGGUUAGUGGACCCCCUUCACUAGGUCUCUCAAGACUCGGUUCAAUGGCUAGUUUAGACUCCCUCAAGUUUUAAACAAUCUAAAACUGUACCACCCUUCCACCACCAUCAAAGUCACCAAGCUCUAUUGUUUUGUUGUUUUUUGAUUUUUGUUACUACAUGUGUGACGAGAACUUACUGUAGUGAACAUAAUUAUUUAUUUAUAGGUAAACAAUUACUUUUUAUAUCAAAUUCUGGCACCUGAAACUGUACCAGUGAGAUACAGGACGGGAAGGUUUACCAUAAUGGCAGGCCUGUUGAUCAAACUAAAAAAACAUAGUGAGGAAGAACCGCUGUUACCUGAAUUCUGUCGGAAUAAAAUAAAAGUGUUAUACCAUGUUAUUAACCAUUUAUAUAAAGACAGUUAUUUAAAAAAUUAUUGCUCAGGAUAUUUUUGAGCGCCAGUGACCUUUGUAAAUUAUAAAAUAUACCUAAGACUAUAUCCCCUGACAAGCUUUGGUGGGUUCCAUGAAAUCUAACAAGCCAUUGCCUGAAAAUAUUGUGAGCAAACACGAAAAAAUUGUUAAAAAAUUUAAAAAUAUAUCAGAUAUUUAUUACAGGUGCGUAUAACUUUUAAAGAAAAAAAACUAGCCGAUUUAGUAGUAAAAAAAAAACAAAAUAGUAAAAUAGUAGUGUAAGAAAUUGAUGAGAAUGAACAACGUGUAGAUAUAUGCGCACAUAUAUAAAUAGUGUCACUUAAAAAAAUCAUAUCCAAAUAUUAAUUAUAUAAAUUGUGUGUGGGGCUAUGUGAAAGGAUUGUUGCUUCAGUUACUACGGGAAAUUCAAUGAUUUAUUAUCGAAGAUCCCCACUUUUCCAUUUCUACAAUUAUUAUUAUUAUUAUUUGUUGACAGUGAUUGUUUAAAUUGACGAAAAAUAACUCGGUCUUCCUUGUGUCCCCAACGAGUUCGUUUAUUGUUACUAUUAUUCAAGUUUUCGAUGACAACCUGUAAGAACAACGAAGAACUGCAAACAAGAACGUUUUCUGAUAGCCCCGUACACUACAAUGCUUCAUUGGAAUUGAAACAUGCUUUUUUACUUGAAAUUUAAAAAUAUAUCGAAGAUAUAUAGAUCAUGUUAAUGAUAACUAUGUAAAUUAAAUUAUUAUGAUAGUACUGUAUAAUAACAUUUACUGUACAAUAUUAUUAUAUUAUUUAGACUUAAUCAUUGUUGAAUUGCAUGUGAUAUACUUUUUAUGUUUUACAGGGUGUACGUACGUUAACUACGCCUGUUUUUAUUCACUUAACCCCUUUUGAAACAUCCCCUAAGUUACUUAUACAAAUAUAUGUAUUCACUUAAAGCAUAAACUGUGGUAUUUGUAUUCAUGAAACUGUCCUGAAAAAGUGAAUGAAAACACGUGCAGAUAAUCGAAUUUAUAUAAUUAACCAAAAAAUCACCCCUGUGUAAAAUGUACUGUUAAUGUUUUUUAAGUUGAUUGAGAGGAAAAAAUGAAAUUUUAUAUAUAUAUAUAUAUGUCAGAAACGAAGUUUUGUUGAUUUGCGAGAUUUUGUGAUCCCGCUUAAUUAUGAUGAUUAUUGAACGCGAACAGAUAUAUCAUUUACGUUCCGUAUAUGUUUUUCGGCGUCGACCGCCCCAAACGGUUACCCUUAGAAUGAGAUAGACAUUUUAUUGUUUGUAUCUAUCAUACGAUGAACCUUUUGGAUACCGUUCAUAAAUUUAGUAACCGUUCGGGGGGAUGUGCAAUUUAAAGUGUUAAGAAAAUAUAUAUUUAUACGAAAAAACAAUAUAACAAACCCUUUGACUAUAUUGAUAAUGUGUAAUACACUCAUGUACAGAGACAUCGAGCAAAUGUAGUGUCAAGAUUUUUUUAUUGAAUUAGAGAAAAAAAUAAUUGUCACCCGUGAAUUUUAUCUGUGUCACAUACACAAGACGGUUAUCGAUGUGGGUAAACAUGAGUAUUUUCCUGAAAGAAACUAAAUCGCCGCUUAAUCUUCUCAUUAAAACUUAGCUUUAACAUGCCCGACAUGUUAUCAAUCGACUUGUGUAUGUAAGGAUGAUUUUGUACAGUAGAAUUAAAACAAAAUCAGUUCUGUUCUCGUGUUUCGUUGUUUAAUAAAUAAUUUACCCCCCCCCUCCUCAAGAAAAAACACAUUUAUUGGUUGUAACAAUAAAUCAAUAUUCAGUAAUUAUAGUUAAUUAAUCCGAAACAGGUUAUGUGAAAUUCAAUAACUGUGUAAACUAUUUAGGCACCCAAUGACAAUUUUUACUGUUUGGAUUUAUCUGCGUAUUAGAUUUUUUGAGUAUAGGAAAAGAUAGAGCUUUGCAAGAGAAGUUUCCGAUUAUAAGUUCACUGUAUUAUUGUUUAUUGUUCAAAAUUGUAAUCCGGGCUUUGCCCCCAAACAAUUGCCUAAUGCAACAACGUGUAUCGCAGUUUGAAAUUCAACAAAUUCGUUAUAAAGUGCAGUUCCGAUUCCCUCCUCAACAGUCAAAUUCGACGGCAAUUGGUUGAGACGCAAAGGCUGGACCGUUUUGUCUUACAGAAAUUUAAUGGAAUAUAAAAAGAAAAGACAAAUCGCAUAUCAUUGGAGAAGCGCGUCCACUGAUUUUGUCCAUUUUGAUAAGUUAGUUCACUCUUGACUGAAUUUCCAAUUUUAUCCAAGCCCAAGGGCAUGACAAUAAAUGAAUGAUCUA